Molecule: ribosomal RNA, 614 nt
Filed under: Talaromyces sp. JCM 28515
Lineage: Eukaryota; Fungi; Ascomycota; Eurotiomycetes; Eurotiales; Trichocomaceae
Also listed under: 1 other name
Description: eukaryotic LSU rRNA
Rfam family: Eukaryotic large subunit ribosomal RNA
Source: RNAcentral
GCAUAUCAAUAAGCGGAGGAAAAGAAACCAACCGGGAUUGCCUCAGUAACGGCGAGUGAAGCGGCAAGAGCUCAAAUUUGAAAUCUGGCCCCUUUGGGGUCCGAGUUGUAAUUUGCAGAGGAUGCUUCGGGUGCGGUCCCCGUCUAAGUGCCCUGGAACGGGCCGUCAUAGAGGGUGAGAAUCCCGUCUGGGAUGGGCGGCCGUGCCCGUGUGAAGCUCCUUCGACGAGUCGAGUUGUUUGGGAAUGCAGCUCUAAGUGGGUGGUAAAUUUCAUCUAAAGCUAAAUACUGGCCGGAGACCGAUAGCGCACAAGUAGAGUGAUCGAAAGAUGAAAAGCACUUUGAAAAGAGAGUUAAACAGCACGUGAAAUUGUUGAAAGGGAAGCGUUGUCCACCAGACUCGCCCGGGGGGGCUCAGCCGGCACGUGUGCCGGUGUACUCCUCUCCGGGCGGGCCAGCAUCGGUUUGGGCGGCUGGUGAAAGGCCCCGGGAAUGUAACACCCUCCGGGGUGCCUUAUAGCCCGGGGUGCCAUGCGGCCAGCCUGGACCGAGGCCCGCGCUUCGGCGAGGAUGCUGGCGUAAUGGUGGUCAACGGCCCGUCUUGAAACACGGACC